ACGAUACGUAGCCGACCUGAGAGGGUGAUCGGCCACACUGGAACUGAGACACGGUCCAGACUCCUACGGGAGGCAGCAGUAGGGAAUCUUCCGCAAUGGGCGAAAGCCUGACGGAGCAACGCCGCGUGAGUGAUGAAGGUCUUCGGAUCGUAAAGCUCUGUUGUUAGGGAAGAACAAAUGUGUAAGUAACUGUGCACAUCUUGACGGUACCUAACCAGAAAGCCACGGCUAACUACGUGCCAGCAGCCGCGGUAAUACGUAGGUGGCAAGCGUUAUCCGGAAUUAUUGGGCGUAAAGCGCGCGUAGGCGGUUUUUUAAGUCUGAUGUGAAAGCCCACGGCUCAACCGUGGAGGGUCAUUGGAAACUGGAAAACUUGAGUGCAGAAGAGGAAAGUGGAAUUCCAUGUGUAGCGGUGAAAUGCGCAGAGAUAUGGAGGAACACCAGUGGCGAAGGCGGCUUUCUGGUCUGUAACUGACGCUGAUGUGCGAAAGCGUGGGGAUCAAACAGGAUUAGAUACCCUGGUAGUCCACGCCGUAAACGAUGAGUGCUAAGUGUUAGGGGGUUUCCGCCCCUUAGUGCUGCAGCUAACGCAUUAAGCACUCCGCCUGGGGAGUACGGUCGCAAGACUGAAACUCAAAGGAAUUGACGGGGACCCGCACAAGCGGUGGAGCAUGUGGUUUAAUUCGAAGCAACGCGAAGAACCUUACCAAAUCUUGACAUCUUUUGACCACUCUAGAGAUAGAGUUUUCCUCUUCGGAGGACAAAAUGACAGGUGGUGCAUGGUUGUCGUCAGCUCGUGUCGUGAGAUGUUGGGUUAAGUCCCGCAACGAGCGCAACCCUUGAGCUUAGUUGCCAUCAUUAAGUUGGGCACUCUAAGUUGACUGCCGGUGACAAACCGGAGGAAGGUGGGGAUGACGUCAAAUCAUCAUGCCCCUUAUGAUUUGGGCUACACACGUGCUACAAUGGACAAUACAAAGGGCAGCAAAACCGCGAGGUCAAGCAAAUCCCAUAAAGUUGUUCUCAGUUCGGAUUGUAGUCUGCAACUCGACUACAUGAAGCUGGAAUCGCUAGUAAUCGUAGAUCAGCAUGCUACGGUGAAUACGUUCCCGGGUCUUGUACACACCGCCCGUCACACCACGAGAGUUUGUAACACCCGAAGCCGGUGGAGUAACCAUUUGGAGCUAGCCGUCGAAGGUGGGACAAAUGAUUGGGGUGAAGUCGUAACAAGGUAGCCGUAUCGGAAGGUGCGGCUGGAUCACCUCCUUU
RNAcentral lists this ribosomal RNA (1266 nucleotides) under Staphylococcus chromogenes. Its description in RNAcentral is "bacterial SSU rRNA". It matches the Rfam family "Bacterial small subunit ribosomal RNA", at positions 276 to 1533 of the family's 1533-position model. The record is from RNAcentral. Lineage: Bacteria; Bacillati; Bacillota; Bacilli; Caryophanales; Staphylococcaceae.